CAUACCUAUUCGAAGGGAUAGGGUCGGUUUGGCCGGAUUUCACACAGGUGUUGCAUGGCUGUCGUCAGCUCGUGUCGUGAGAUGUUGGGUUAAGUCCCGCAACGAGCGCAACCCUCAUCCUUAGUUACCAUCAGGUUAUGCUGGGGACUUUAAGGAAACUGCCAGUGAUAAACUGGAGGAAGGUGGGGAUGAUGUCAAGUCAUCAUGGCCCUUAUGGAGUGGGCUACACACGUGCUACAAUGGCGAUUACAAUGGGCUGCAAGGUCGCAAGGCUGAGCUAAUCCUAAAAAAUCAUCUCAGUUCGGAUUGUUCUCUGCAACUCGAGAGCAUGAAGUUGGAAUCGCUAGUAAUCGUGGAUCAGCAUGCCACGGUGAAUACGUUCUCGGGUCUUGUACACACUGCCCGUCACGCCAUGGGAAUUGGUUUCACUCGAAGCU
Molecule: ribosomal RNA, 437 nt
Filed under: Wolbachia pipientis
Lineage: Bacteria; Pseudomonadati; Pseudomonadota; Alphaproteobacteria; Rickettsiales; Anaplasmataceae
Description: bacterial SSU rRNA
Rfam family: Bacterial small subunit ribosomal RNA
Source: RNAcentral